UGCACUCGGGCAAGGAUCAAACAACCAGCUCCUGAUGAAUCCCCCAGGACGGAAACGUAGCAAGGGUAGUUGGUCGUAGCGGUGUGAUUUGACUCCUUGCCUUUUU
Molecule: non-coding RNA, 106 nt
Organism: Cryomorphaceae bacterium
Lineage: Bacteria; Pseudomonadati; Bacteroidota; Flavobacteriia; Flavobacteriales; Cryomorphaceae
Source: Rfam